Molecule: non-coding RNA, 94 nt
Filed under: Arthrobacter alpinus
Lineage: Bacteria; Bacillati; Actinomycetota; Actinomycetes; Micrococcales; Micrococcaceae
Description: TPP sequence
Rfam family: TPP riboswitch aptamer (THI element)
About the family: Vitamin B(1) in its active form thiamin pyrophosphate (TPP) is an essential coenzyme that is synthesised by coupling of pyrimidine and thiazole moieties in bacteria.
Source: Rfam by way of RNAcentral
GGCAGUGACACGGGGUGCCCUUGGCGGGCUGAGAAAGACACCCGUUGAACCUGAUCUAGUUAGCACUAGCGAAGGGAUGUCCUGCCGGUUUCUU